GUGUCUUCCACUUUCCUUUCACUUCUAGCCCUGCCUCUGUCACUGGAGGCCUAUCCACUCAAUGAUACAAGGGGUGGUGCAUUGGGAAGUGGGGGUACUGUUCAGCUCCCUCUUACUAAAUGCCUCUGGUCUCUCACAAUCAUUAUAACAGGGUGAUUAUUUUGUCCUCUGCUUUGCAACCUGUUCUACAGUUCCAGGACUACAGGAAAAGUCAUGACAGAUAACUCAUGGUUUGCGAACUCAUGGACCUCACUUGAGCAUCACUAGUUUACAGUACCUGUCAAGAAGGAAUAAAAACAAGAAGAAAACCCAUUCACUUUCAGAGAGCUGCUAGUUCCAAGGAUGAGGUGUUGCCAGGUAGAAUAGCAGGGGAAAAAGAAAAGGGUUAGCCUGGCAUCUGGCAUGGACUCAUCAAGGAGUGGAAACCGUGAGGCCUGUGAGGAGUUAUAGCAGACAGGUCCUCACCACACGGUCACAUAUGUGUCAGGACAGGACUUCGCAUACUUCAGGUUAAGUUUAGCAAGAUGGAUCACCAUUCAAAUACCCAUGCUAUGGUUUCAGUGAUUCUCCAACUGUGAUUAGCUUUAUGCCUAUCAG
Non-coding RNA from Ictidomys tridecemlineatus (thirteen-lined ground squirrel), 597 nucleotides. The record is from RefSeq and is a predicted model, not a curated record. NCBI's taxonomy places the organism in Eukaryota, Metazoa, Chordata, Mammalia, Rodentia, Sciuridae.